This is a long non-coding RNA of Solanum lycopersicum (tomato), 302 nucleotides long. RefSeq lists it as uncharacterized. Lineage: Eukaryota; Viridiplantae; Streptophyta; Magnoliopsida; Solanales; Solanaceae. The record is from RefSeq and is a predicted model, not a curated record.
UUCGGGCGGAGCAGCAGCGGUUUCCCGGCGACGGAAGUGGGCGAGGAUCUCGAGGAGAUGGUUAAAGUGAUGCCAAGUAAGAAACGUGGGAUAGUGUCGUUUGACUGACUUCCGUGCUGGUUAUGUUUAAAUUCGGUAAAAAAGCAAUGUUACCGAUGCCAAAGGUCCAGUGGAUUAGCAUUAGAAAGCGAAGACAAAAGGUGAUCGCAAAAGCACAAUUAACAAACUAAUGUAUUAAAAUUUCACUAAUGGUUCCUUUUUAGCUGCCUUUUUUUAAUGAAACCAAGCCAUCAUCUUUACAA